UACGUAGGGUGCAAGCGUUAAUCGGAAUUACUGGGCGUAAAGCGUGCGCAGGCGGUAAUGUAAGACAGAUGUGAAAUCCCCGGGCUCAACCUGGGAACUGCAUUUGUGACUGCAUUGCUGGAGUGCGGCAGAGGGGGAUGGAAUUCCGCGUGUAGCAGUGAAAUGCGUAGAUAUGCGGAGGAACACCGAUGGUGAAGGCAAUCCCCUGGGCCUGCACUGACGCUCAUGCACGAAAGCGUGGGGAGCAAACAGG
Molecule: ribosomal RNA, 253 nt
Filed under: uncultured bacterium
Lineage: Bacteria
Description: partial 16S ribosomal RNA
Rfam family: Bacterial small subunit ribosomal RNA
Source: RNAcentral